GACGAACGCUGGCGGCGUGCCUAAUACAUGCAAGUCGAACGCACUCUCGUUUAGAUUGAAGGAGCUUGCUCCUGAUUGAUAAACAUUUGAGUGAGUGGCGGACGGGUGAGUAACACGUGGGUAACCUGCCCUAAAGUGGGGGAUAACAUUUGGAAACAGAUGCUAAUACCGCAUAAAACCUAACACCGCAUGGUGUAGGGUUGAAAGAUGGUUUCGGCUAUCACUUUAGGAUGGACCCGCGGUGCAUUAGUUAGUUGGUGAGGUAAAGGCUCACCAAGACCGUGAUGCAUAGCCGACCUGAGAGGGUAAUCGGCCACACUGGGACUGAGACACGGCCCAGACUCCUACGGGAGGCAGCAGUAGGGAAUCUUCCACAAUGGACGAAAGUCUGAUGGAGCAACGCCGCGUGAGUGAAGAAGGUUUUCGGAUCGUAAAACUCUGUUGUUGGAGAAGAAUGUAUCUGAUAGUAACUGAUCAGGUAGUGACGGUAUCCAACCAGAAAGCCACGGCUAACUACGUGCCAGCAGCCGCGGUAAUACGUAGGUGGCAAGCGUUGUCCGGAUUUAUUGGGCGUAAAGCGAGCGCAGGCGGUUUCUUAAGUCUGAUGUGAAAGCCUUCGGCUCAACCGAAGAAGUGCAUCGGAAACUGGGAAACUUGAGUGCAGAAGAGGACAGUGGAACUCCAUGUGUAGCGGUGAAAUGCGUAGAUAUAUGGAAGAACACCAGUGGCGAAGGCGGCUGUCUGGUCUGUAACUGACGCUGAGCUCGAAAGCAUGGGUAGCAAACAGGAU
Molecule: ribosomal RNA, 790 nt
Filed under: Latilactobacillus sakei
Lineage: Bacteria; Bacillati; Bacillota; Bacilli; Lactobacillales; Lactobacillaceae
Description: bacterial SSU rRNA
Rfam family: Bacterial small subunit ribosomal RNA
Source: RNAcentral